Molecule: ribosomal RNA, 1761 nt
Filed under: Triticum aestivum (bread wheat)
Lineage: Eukaryota; Viridiplantae; Streptophyta; Magnoliopsida; Poales; Poaceae
Description: partial small subunit ribosomal RNA
Source: RNAcentral
AUGGCGGCGCCGCCCGCCCUCCUCACCGCCGCCCGCCUCGGCCGUGGCCUCGGCCUCCUAGCCUCCGUACGCUACUACGGCGCUAUCCCUGUUCCAUUUUCCGUCUCCUCCCCACGGCGCCGGCUCCCGGCCCCGCCCCCUCGCCACGUCAGCAGCUCUGUCCGCCGCCUGGCCGCCACGGCCGUCUCUGAGCCCCAGACGGAUUCAGAGUCUGGUACAGCGACAGUAAGGAAGGGGCGCAUCUACCAUGAAACGUACGGGUGCCAGAUGAAUGUAAACGAUAUGGAGAUUGUGCUGUCUAUCAUGAAAAAAGAAGGGUACAAUGACAUUGUUCCUGACCCUGAGAGUGCAGAGAUAAUAUUUAUCAACACCUGUGCGAUUCGUGACAAUGCAGAGCAGAAAGUUUGGCAGCGGCUCAACUACUUUUGGUUCCUGAAAAGGCAAUGGAAAGCUAAUGUUGCUGGAGGUAGAUCGAAGUCUCUGCGUCCUCCUAAGAUUGCUGUUCUCGGGUGCAUGGCAGAGCGACUGAAGGAGAAAAUACUCGACUCUGAUAAGAUGGUUGAUGUUGUAUGUGGUCCGGAUGCGUACAGGGACUUGCCUAGGUUGCUGCAGGAAGUCGAUUAUGGGCAGAAGGGUAUCAACACACUCCUCUCACUGGAGGAGACUUAUGCUGACAUCACCCCAGUUAGGAUUUCCGACAAUUCGGUUACGGCGUUCGUGUCAAUUAUGAGGGGUUGUAACAAUAUGUGCUCGUUUUGCAUUGUUCCCUUCACUAGAGGCAGGGAGAGGUCACGCCCAGUAUCUUCUGUUGUCCGAGAAGUUGGUGAGCUAUGGGAUGCUGGCGUAAAAGAAGUAAUGCUUCUUGGUCAGAAUGUAAACAGUUAUAAUGAUACUUCUGAAGUUGAGGAGUUGGAGCCUGGUAAAAACUGGCAGCUCAGCGAAGGAUUUUCCAGCAGGUGCAAAGUGAAGAAUAUGGGGUUGCGUUUUGCCGAUCUCCUGGAUCAGUUGUCUCUGGAAUACCCUGAGAUGCGAUUCAGGUUUACCUCUCCACAUCCAAAGGAUUUUCCUGAUGAGCUGCUAUAUUUGAUGCGGGAUAGGUACAACAUUUGCAAACUUAUUCACUUGCCUGCACAAUCAGGCAGCACAGAGGUGCUGGAACGAAUGAAGCGGGGUUAUACUCGAGAAGCAUAUUUGGAGCUUGUGCAGAAAAUCCGUAAUGUCAUUCCAGAUGUUGGGCUAAGCAGUGAUUUCAUAAGUGGCUUUUGUGGAGAGACAGAAGAUGACCAUGCCGACACUCUUAGCCUUGUAAGGGAUGUUGGAUAUGAUAUGGCUUACAUGUUUGCAUAUAGCAUGAGAGAGAAGACCCAUGCUCAUCGGAAUUAUGAGGAUGAUGUCCCCAAUGAUGUUAAGCAGAGGAGACUUGCAGAACUGAUCAACACCUUCCGUGAGACCACAAGAAAGAUCUACGAUUCUCAGGUUGGUACCACACAAGUAGUUCUAGUCGAGGGACCCAAUAAGCGAGCUCCUGAAACAGAGCUGUUUGGGAAAACUGACCGGGGGCACAGGGUUUCGUUUACUAGUCUCCCUGUACCACAUACAUCUGAAGGUGACGGAGCUCGUAAGCCAGUGUUUGGUGACUUUGUUGAGGUAAAAAUUCUCAGGUCGUCGACAGCAUCGUUAUCUGGAGAGCCAAUUGCACGCACAAGCUUGGGCAUGUACUGCAAGAAUCAUGCAUCUGACGCACAUGUUGUUGGUGCAUAA